RNAcentral lists this ribosomal RNA (1958 nucleotides) under human gut metagenome. Its description in RNAcentral is "bacterial LSU rRNA". It matches the Rfam family "Bacterial large subunit ribosomal RNA", at positions 1 to 1980 of the family's 2925-position model. The record is from RNAcentral.
UAAAGCAAGAAAGGGCGUAUGGGGAAUGCCUAGGCACACUCCGGCGAAGAAGGACGCAGCAAACAGCGAAAUGCGACGGUGAGCGGUAAGCACGUGAAGAGCCGUCGAUAUCCGAAUGGGGGAACCCACACGGAGUCAUAUCCGUGUAUCACAUGUCGAAUACAUAGACAUGAUGAGGCGAGACGCAGGGAACUGAAACAUCUAAGUACCUGCAGGAAGAGAAAAUAAGAAUGAUUUUCUGAGUAGCGGCGAGCGAAAGGGAAAGAGCCCAAACCGAUUUGAGGAUCGGGGUAGUAGGAUCAUCGAUAAAUCUGACAGAGGAUCAUAGAGGAAUCACAUGGGAAGGUGAGCGAGAGAGGGUGAGAGCCCCGUACUCGAAAUGAGAGACUGGAGAGAGAUGACACCUGAGUAGGGCGGGACACGAGAAAUCCUGUCUGAAUCAGCCGGGACCAUCCGGCAAGGCUAAAUACGAGAGAGUGACCGAUAGUGAACCAGUACCGUGAGGGAAAGGUGAAAAGAACCCCGGGAGGGGAGUGAAAGAGAACCUGAAACCAUAUGCCUACAAGAAGUCAGAGCCCGUUAAAGGGUGAUGGCGUGCCUUUUGUAGAAUGAACCGGCGAGUUACUGUAUGGAGCGAGGUUAAGCAGGAUAUGCGGAGCCGAAGCGAAAGCGAGUCUUAAGAGGGCGAGAGUUGCAUGCAGUAGACCCGAAACCGGGUGAUCUAGCCAUGACCAGGUUGAAGUUGGGGUAAAACCCGAUGGAGGACCGAACCGACCCCCGUUGAAACGUUGGCGGAUGAGUUGUGGCUAGGGGUGAAAUUCCAAUCGAACCCGGAGAUAGCUGGUUCUCCCCGAAAUAGCUUUAGGGCUAGCGUCGAGGUAAGUUGCGUGAAGGUAGAGCACUGAAUAUGUGAUGGCCCCAUCUCGGGGUACUGAGCAUAAUCAAACUGCGAAUGUCACGCCAACAUGCUCGGCAGUCAGACAGCGGGUGAUAAGGUCCGUUGUCAAGAGGGAAACAGCCCAGACCAUCAGCUAAGGUCCCAAAAUGUAUGCUAAGUGGAAAAGGAUGUGGAGAUGUACAGACAACUAGGAGGUUGGCUCAGAAGCAGCCAUCCUUUAAAGAGUGCGUAACAGCUCACUAGUCGAGUGACCCUGCGCCGAAAAUGUACCGGGGCUAAGCCUGAUACCGAAACUGCGGAUUGUAGGAAACUAUAGUGGUAGGGGAGCGUUGUAUACGAGUAGAAGCCGUACCGUGAGGAGCGGUGGAUUGUAUAGAAGUGAGAAUGCCGGUGUGAGUAGCGAGAUGUAGGUGAGAAUCCUACACACCGAAAGCCCAAGGAUUCCAGGGGAAGGUUCGUCCGCCCUGGGUAAGUCGGGACCUAACGCGAGGCCGAAAGGCGUAGUGGAUGGAAAGCAGGCGAAAGAUUCCUGCACCCGUAUAUGGAGCGAAGGAGUGACGGAGACGGAUAGUGUGACCCUCUUAAUGGAUUGAGGGCGAAGCGAAGCGGCUGGUUACCAGGCAAAUCCGGUAACCAUAAGGCUAGAGCGUGAUAGGUAAGCGAAAUCUUCGGAAAGUAGCGAAGCACAUGAUGACGGCUUCCAGGAAAAGCUUCUGGCAAUGCAUAUGCGGCCCGUACCAAAACCGACACAGGUGGGCAGGGAGAGAAUCCCGAGGUGAGCGAGAGAACUGUUGCCAAGGAACUCGGCAAAAUGACUCCGUAAGUUAGCGAGAAGGAGUGCUUAAGCAAUUAAGCCGCAGUGAAGAGGCCCAAGCGACUGUUUAACUAAAACACAGCUCUCUGCGAAGUCGCAAGACGAAGUAUAGGGGGUGACACCUGCCCGGUGCUGGAAGGUUAAGAGGAUCUGUUAAGAGCGAUCUGAAGCAGUGAUCCGAAGCCCCAGUGAACGGCGGCCGUAACUAUAACGGUCCUAAGGUAGCGAAAUUCCUUGUCAGGUAAG